Molecule: ribosomal RNA, 259 nt
Filed under: uncultured prokaryote
Description: partial 16S ribosomal RNA
Rfam family: Bacterial small subunit ribosomal RNA
Source: RNAcentral
UACGGAGGGUGCGAGCGUUGUCCGGAUUUAUUGGGUUUAAAGGGUGCGUAGGCGGACUAUUAAGUCAGUGGUGAAAGCCUGCAGCUUAACUGCAGAACUGCCAUUGAUACUGAUAGUCUUGAGUUUGGUUAAGGUAGGCGGAACGUGUAAUGUAGCGGUGAAAUGCUUAGAUAUUACACAGAACACCAAUUGCGUAGGCAGCUUACUGAGCCGACACUGACGCUGAGGCACGAAAGCGUGGGGAUCGAACAGGAUUAGA